RNAcentral lists this long non-coding RNA (5429 nucleotides) under Populus trichocarpa (black cottonwood). RNAcentral describes it as "long non-coding RNA (PTRI_LNC003307)". The record is from RNAcentral. Lineage: Eukaryota; Viridiplantae; Streptophyta; Magnoliopsida; Malpighiales; Salicaceae.
GUUAGGGAAGCUGAAGGUUGGAUGGUACUCGUGCAUGAUCCAAUUGGUCUUGAUCCCGUUAGGAACACGCCCCUCGUAGAAAACCAGAGUCUUCUUGGUAGCAAUAUGCUCCUUGGUGGUUUUAGUUUUGACUAUACGAUCCUUGCCUGUGACUUUCCAGUAUCCAGCUUGAGUUGUCCUAUUAGCCCGGUCGCUAUUUGCGUACUUGUAACUGCGAGGACAGAAGAAAUAACACUCUGGGUCGUUUGGCUCUUUAAUUGCUGAAAGCUCUGCAUGAUUUGUUGUUGAUUGAGAAAUUGCAAGUUAGAAAACAGGGAAAAAAUAGGAAAGUGAUAAGGAAAAAAAAAACAAAACAUUGCACUGGACACGUAUAUAUGAACACGUACCAGGCAGCACCCAAGGCUCAUAAUCGCACACAUUAGCCUCUGCGAUUGCGCUGACUUCUUGUUCACAGACACCGAGCAUUUUUAACCUCAAGUAAUAGGUCACCAACUCUUCAUCGGUUGGAUGGAAUCCAUAGCCUACGGGAGGUGGUCGAGAAUGCAUUGUUGUACUUGUCGUCUUUGAUUGAUCACGUCGUGUAUAACUAAGAGAAAGUUAAGGCAGAUUACAUAUAUAUAUAUAUAAAGAAAGUUACCAAAGCAUCAGAGGUUGCAAGAAUAAAUUCUAUAAUUUGUAAGAGAAGAAUGAAGUAUAGAGACAAGGAAGUACUGAAAAGGAAGCUGUUGGUGUGCAAUGGAAGCUGUGGUGUGCGGUCAAUAUAUAUAGGGGAUGCAGGGGAUGUUUGCGCUUCUAUAUAUCCAAGACUUCAAACACCCAGUCCCCUCACAGAAUCUACUUCACUCAGAAGUUCGUAGUUUCGAAGGCAUCAGAGGUCUAAGUGGGUCCCAUGUUAAACCGUGUCCUCCUUGUCAGUACAGUGUUUAUAUAUAUAGAAUGUGGUAAGUUCUAAAAAAAAAUGUUUUUUACUAGAAAAUAUAUAAAAAUAAUAUUUUAUUAUUAUUUAAAAAUUAAUUUAUAAAUAACAUAAAGUUUUUUAAAAAAAUCACAUUUUAGUACUCCAAUAGUGAGAACUUAGAAUUCCACAACUUGGAAUCCAAGCUCUUGGGGCUGCACUUAACUUCUGUAACCAUCAUAGAACAUUCGCGAACAAUCACUAAUAACGACCAAUGCAAGUCAAACUAUGUACUCAUUUGUUUUUGUUCUGCCUUUACAUUCUGUUUGGAAAAGAAGGAUGAAAAUAUAUACUUCUAAACAUGCGAGAAAUUAAAAAACAAUCAACAUAUGUCCUUGGAAAAAUAUUUAGUUAUUUACCCUCCAAUUCCCCUCGUGUCCCAAACAUGAAAAAUCCGUACAUCCAUCUUUAUUUCCUUUCCAUUUAUUUUCUUCCCUCUCGAAAUACGCUCUUCCCAAACACAUUGAUAGUCGAUCAAGUAGCAUGAAAAAAAAAUCUAACUGAAUUCUCGAUGGCUUGCGUGACAUCUCGUCUUUUAUAUAAUAUACAUUGUUGUGUCUCGUGAUAAAGAUAGAAGGAUUUUCAGAACGAUAAACAUGAUAUAAAAUUAAUAAAUGAUGCGGGCUAUUUAUAAAAUGCUUUUCUACGUACGGGGUUGAGAGUUUGAAUCUUACCUGCUAAAUUUGUUGUUUAAUUACGUAGAUACAUGUUUUUGUUUGAUCAUAAUUAUUUUUAAAAAGAUUUUAAACUGCAUCUAGCACAGAUGUGAUACUUCGAAAUACAUUGUUACAAGCCUUGAUGUUAUGCUGCAACCAAGUAGGUGGUGGUCCAGUGAUAAGAGUUUGGGAUCAAAAGGUUUGCUUCCUCUGUGGUCUCAGGUUCGAGCCAUGUGGUUGCUCAUAUGAUGGCCACUGGAGACUUACAUGGUCGUUAACUUCAGGACCCGUGGAAUUAAUCGAGGUACAUGUAAGCUGCUGGCCCGGACACCCAAGUUAAACUAAAAGAAAAUUAUAUGAAAUCUCUAUUUAAUGCUCUACAUGGCGAGUGUCUGUAGGGAGCUUCGUGUUGAUUUGAUCCUCCGCUCAGGUUAUUAAUGGCAGGUGGGAAGUACAAGUAGCUAGCUUGACACGGAAAAGGAUUGAUGACUACACUUUCUCUGCACGGUGAGUAUCCUUUUCCAUGUAUUUAUACUAUAGGAGUGUGUGGUCUUUUUUUCUUUGGAACCACACUUGCUUGACAAGUUUGAUUUUUAGGUUAACUUGAACGAGUUUUCAUGGUUUUUUUUUUUAAAGUAUUUCAAAAUCUAUAUAUAAAAAAAAUUGUGCAUAAGUUCAAGUGAUAUUUCAAAAGAGUUUUUCAAAUAUAGAUCCAUUAAGAAGUCCUUAUAUGUAAUAGUAAAGCCAAUUAUUAGUAAUGGUUUGUUUAUUUGCGGUCAUAAAUAAAAUAAAAUAAUGAAAAUUAUAAUUUGUUAUUUAAAAGAGUAUUUAACAAUAUCAAUAAAUAUUUUUUUUCUAAUUAUUUUAUAUGUUGCUAUUUGGCCCGUUCUUUAAUUAAAUAUCACAAAUAAAAACCACAUACAAAAAAAGAAAAAACACAAAUCUUGAGUGGUCAUGAGUCUAGUCCUUGGUUUUUUUGACAAGUUCAGGUCCUUCUUUAACAAUGAAUCGCAUCACCCUGACGUGAUCACAUGGUUUUUUUCUUAGGCAUCUCCAUCGAAGGCCCGCAUUCGCCUUCAAUACUGCAGUUCGGUUGCAGCUUCGAAAUCAGAGAUCGAGACCAUAUGGUGAUUUGGUUCACUUUUGGUGGUCUUCACAUCUGGUUUUUUCUUCAAUUUGCAGAGAACAUAUCCCCCCUGCACAUAUUGAAACAGAAAACCUAGAUUCAUCGAGUGAAUUAUUAGUACAUAAGAGCAUACACCAGUAAAAGCAAAUUAAUUUCUAAAAAAACACGGGGCGGCUACAUCACCAGAUAUUCAAAGUAAAAUCGAACGAACAGAACUUAAGAACCAAAAAUUACCGACUACAAUCUCCAUACCCAACAGAGUAUAUGACCAUUCCUUACAGCUUGAAAUAAUAAAGAGGUAUGAUAAUUGAGCAAAAAGUAAAGGACCAGAUUAACAUCCAAGUUUCCAAUUUCGUAGAAAUGAUAGCCAUAACUUACUUGGGCUAUUUUCCCCUUCCAUGUAAGAACAUUGCAACAAAUUAAUUCAAAUCAAUCUUUUUAAAAUAAUUUUCAAUUUAUUUUUUAAUUAAUACCUCUUCUCAAUUAUUUUUACUUUUUAUGAUAUUUUUAAUAUAUACAGCCUCCAUAAUAUUUCUUUUCAUUUCUUUUAUUCUAUUAAUUUUAUAUGUGUAUUGAUUUUCAUUACAAUUAGGUAAAUGAUCGUUUUUCUUCAUAGAUAAAGGUUUUUUUCCAUGUUAUUAUAAUUGCUUACUCACACACUUGUUUGCUAUUGCUGCCUCCCUUUUUUUCCAUAUGAUUCAAAUAAAAGCGGCUUAUUUAGAUAGUGUGGACAAUAACCCGAGUUAUUGGUCAGGACUAUAACAUAAAUUAUUGGGUUUUUUUAUAUAAAAAAAAAAACACAUUUGUGAUGCCUAAGUAUUGUACUGGAAAAAUAAUAUGUAUCUGCAGCAUAAAAUAGGUACCCAUCUAGUCAUGAGUCCUAUUUAUUAAGUAAAGAUCAAGAUUGUAAUAUAUUUAAAUUAUUUUUUUAAAAUGUGUUCGAGAUGAGCACAUUAAAAUAAUAUAAAAAAAACAAUAAAAAAUAUUAAUAUAAAACUAAAAAUAUUAGAAAAUUUAUAUAAAAAAAAAAGUCGGACUGCAGUAUCAAAAAGUCCCUGUUCCUUUUACCCUUAUACGCACCUAUGUUUUCCUUUUUAUCCCCUUCUUUCCAUAUUCCUGUGCUCUACAACUUUCAAUCUACUUUUUUUUUAUUUUUAUGUUUCCUUUUAUAUAUGAAUAUGUAAUGGUUUAAGUAACGAUUUCAUCCAAAAAAAAAACAUAAACUUCACAAUAGAAGUUCAAGUUGUUAAAUAUUUUCAACUUUUUAUUAAAUUUAUUUACUUCAUGUGGAUGUAUAAUUCACCAGCAAAUAUUUACGCGGGUGCUGGUUGAUUUUCAUCUGGAUGCCGUCAUUUCUCAUGGAGGACCCUGAGCCUGAGGCAUGUGCAUUGAACCGUCGUCGCAGGUUUUGAGAUGGAAAUGCGCACCUUUACUUGAACCAAAGACAUUUUUAGAAAGUACACGGUCUUAUAAAUCUCACAGGCUACAAUUAAACAGUCAGCAAUCAAGUAAAAAGCAGAACACAUUCGAGAUGCAUUAAAUUCCACUCCAGAAAAACAACAAAGGUACUUUCCUAUGACAUAUGAUCAGCCACAUCCAAUGCAUGCAGCGGAUGAACUGACCAGUUGGUCCUAGGUUUAAUACAAAUACGCUAUUAAGACUUAAAAAUAGGAACUUCAGGGCAUGAAGUUGGUACAGUGCUAUAUAUAGAUAAAGUUUGACAGACAUGGAUGCUAGGAACCCAUUGCGGGAAGGGGUUUUUUCAGUAAAUAUCCCCGUAUGGAAACUGUAGGGCAGAGUCCAGGCUAUAACAUCCCUCAAUAUCGUAGCCACGCAAUGAGUCCAGUUGUGCUUGGAAUUGAUAAGUAUCUUCCUGUAAAAGAAACACAAGUUGUUGAUAUAUUCUUCUUACACAUGAAAUAACUUGCAAAAAAAAACUGCUUGUUAGUGGUGCUGUUUAUCACCUCUGGCUCGUUGUUAGUGAAAUUAGAAACCGUCCAGGCACCAUAUUCACCUUCUUCAAAGGUUUGGGGAUGAUGACACUCAGUUGAGUUUUGAUUUUCAGAAUGAUCAGAAGUUACAUUGAAGCUUGCUUCACCUUCUUCAUAUGUUGGCUUGAUCGCAUGUGGAUCUUUCUUCAGUUUGCAGAGAACGAAUUCCCUCUACGCAAAAAGGAAACAAGAUCACGUGUAAAUACAGGGGGAAAGAGCACUUCAAGUCUUACGAGUGAUCAUUUUAGUUAGCUGGUAUUCAAAACCAAAAUUCUCAACACAAGUGCCAAGGAGUACUGUUGGUGAUCGACUGGUCUGAUCCCAAGCCUUUCGUUAAUUUUAUUUCUAUUGUACCCUCGAAUUCAAGUCUCUUUAUUGGAAUGAAGAGAGAAAAGGAAAGACUACAAAACAACUUAAGAUGUGCAGCAAUGGUACCUGGUUAGGGAAGCUGAAGUUUGGAUGGUACUCGUGCAUGAUCCAAUCGGUCUUGAUCCCGUUAGGAACACGCCCCUUGUAGAAAACCAGAGUCUUCUUGGUAGCAAUAUGCUCCUUGGUGGUUUUAGUUUUGACUAUACGAUCCUUGCCUGUGACUUUCCAGUAUCCAGCUUGAGUUGUCCUAUUAGCCCGGUCGCUAUUUGCGUACUUGUAACUGCGAGGACAGAAGAAAUAACACUCUGGGUCGUUUGGCUCUUUAAUUGCUG